Molecule: ribosomal RNA, 253 nt
Filed under: uncultured Blautia sp.
Lineage: Bacteria; Bacillati; Bacillota; Clostridia; Lachnospirales; Lachnospiraceae
Description: partial 16S ribosomal RNA
Rfam family: Bacterial small subunit ribosomal RNA
Source: RNAcentral
UACGUAGGGGGCAAGCGUUAUCCGGAUUUACUGGGUGUAAAGGGAGCGUAGACGGCCAUGCAAGUCUGAUGUGAAAACCCGGGGCUCAACCCCGGGACUGCAUUGGAAACUGUAUUUCUAGAGUGUCGGAGAGGCAAGUGGAACUCCAUGUGUAGCGGUGGAAUGCGUAGAUAUAUGGAAGAACACCAGUGGCGAAGGCGGCUCUCUGGUCUGCAACUGACGCGGAGGCUCGAAAGCAUGGGUAGCGAACAGG